GUGCCGGGAGGGUGAGCACCAGCACCAGCACCAGCCAGACAAAAUCUCUCGGAUUCGGGCUGACCUAGAUGGAGACUCCACAAUUAAUUUGAUGUCUGAAUUGGAGAUGUCCAACAAUUUCUCCUAUGUGAUUCGACUAGAUCAAUUUCAGUUUGUGACUCCUGAGGAUGUGGACAAGCUGCUUGGAUCGAUUUAUAAGACAGAAGCAGCAGCAGAGACAUGGUCUAUUCCUUGAUAACAAUGCGGAAUGUGGGAGAUUGAGCGUCAUAACUAGAUUGGUACGGCAUAUAAACACCAGAUGCUACUGACUACCCCAACUGGCUCAUGUGCUAAUGAGUGAAAGGGCCAAUCUACCUCUUGGAGCAGAGAGUUCUGAAGCCUCAGUACCAUGACCUGAUUGGGCUCUGCUGUUUCUCUGCCAGCCACACUUUUAUGAGACCUGCAUAAAGUGGAUUAACAACAUGGCACACAGAACUACUGGUGGAGUCAAUUUCAUGAAGGCUACACCAGCCUUACCCUUCGGCACAGUGAGGUAGUGCCAUCAAGGGGCAGAUGUGAGCCACCAUAUAAGGGUGACAAAUACUAGGUAUUUGCCAGAUGAGGAGCCCGGUUCUAGAUAAGGAUGAGCUGGGAGGAGAGCUGGUCUUGUGGUAAGUAAAAUAAAGUGUGCUGUUGAGUCAGUGUCGACUCCUGGCAACCACAGAGCCUUGGAGGGGCUUACCAUUGGAGGGGUUUACCAUUGCCAUCUCCUGCGCAGUAUGAGUUGAUGCCUUUCAGCAUCUUUCUAUAUCGCUGCUGCCCAAUAUGGGUGUUUCCCAUUGUCUGGGAAACAUACCAGUGGGGAUUCGAACCGGCCACCUCUGGCUUGCUGGUAAGUCAUUUCCCUGCUGUGCCAUUAGGUGGCUGGUCUUGUGGUAGCAAGCAUGAAUUGUCCCCUUUGCUAAGCAGGGUCUGCCCUGGUUUGCAUUUGGAUGAGACACUAUGAAGUUAUUCUCAUGACCAGCAGGAACUGAGCUAAGGAAGCCCAGCCUGACACGUGGCUCCCGGCAGUGACUAGGCAGCAAGCCUGCUUAUGGAGCCCACUGCUUAACCCGGGUCUUGGGUGCGAGCGCG
Long non-coding RNA from Hemicordylus capensis (graceful crag lizard), 1113 nucleotides. RefSeq lists it as uncharacterized. The transcript is spliced from 6 exons. NCBI's taxonomy places the organism in Eukaryota, Metazoa, Chordata, Lepidosauria, Squamata, Cordylidae. The record is from RefSeq and is a predicted model, not a curated record.